GGUUAAGCGACUAAGCGUACACGGUGGAUGCCCUGGCAGUCAGAGGCGAUGAAGGACGUGCUAAUCUGCGAAAAGCGUCGGUAAGGUGAUAUGAACCGUUAUAGCCGGCGAUGUCCGAAUGGGGAAACCCAGUGUGAUUCGUCACACUAUCGUUAACUGAAUACAUAGGUUAACGAGGCGAACCGGGGGAACUGAAACAUCUAAGUACCCCGAGGAAAAGAAAUCAACCGAGAUUCCCCCAGUAGCGGCGAGCGAACGGGGAGCAGCCCAGAGUCUGAAUCAGCUUGUGUGUUAGUGGAACGGUCUGGAAAGUCCGACGGUACAGGGUGAUAGUCCCGUACACCAAAAUGCACAGGCUGUGAACUCGAAGAGUAGGGCGGGACACGUGGUAUCCUGUCUGAAUAUGGGGGGACCAUCCUCCAAGGCUAAAUACUCCUGACUGACCGAUAGUGAACCAGUACCGUGAGGGAAAGGCGAAAAGAACCCCGGCGAGGGGAGUGAAAAAGAACCUGAAACCGUGUACGUACAAGCAGUGGGAGCACCUUCGGGUGUGACUGCGUACCUUUUGUAUAAUGGGUCAGCGACUUAUAUUCUGUAGCAAGGUUAACCGUAUAGGGGAGCCGCAGGGAAACCGAGUCUUAACUGGGCGUUAAGUUGCAGGGUAUAGACCCGAAACCCGGUGAUCUAGCCAUGGGCAGGUUGAAGGUUGGGUAACACUAACUGGAGGACCGAACCGACUAAUGUUGAAAAAUUAGCGGAUGACUUGUGGCUGGGGGUGAAAGGCCAAUCAAACCGGGAGAUAGCUGGUUCUCCCCGAAAGCUAUUUAGGUAGCGCCUCGUGAACUCAUCUUCGGGGGUAGAGCACUGUUUCGGCUAGGGGGUCAUCCCGACUUACCAACCCGAUGCAAACUACGAAUACCGAAGAAUGUUAUCACGGGAGACACACGGCGGGUGCUAACGUCCGUCGUGAAGAGGGAAACAACCCAGACCGCCAGCUAAGGUCCCAAAGUCAUGGUUAAGUGGGAAACGAUGUGGGAAGGCACAGACAGCCAGGAUGUUGGCUUAGAAGCAGCCAUCAUUUAAAGAAAGCGUAAUAGCUCACUGGUCGAGUCGGCCUGCGCGGAAGAUGUAACGGGGCUAAACCAUGCACCGAAGCUGCGGCAGCGACACUAUGUGUUGUUGGGUAGGGGAGCGUUCUGUAAGCCUGCGAAGGUGUGCUGUGAGGCAUGCUGGAGGUAUCAGAAGUGCGAAUGCUGACAUAAGUAACGAUAAAGCGGGUGAAAAGCCCGCUCGCCGGAAGACCAAGGGUUCCUGUCCAACGUUAAUCGGGGCAGGGUGAGUCGACCCCUAAGGCGAGGCCGAAAGGCGUAGUCGAUGGGAAACAGGUUAAUAUUCCUGUACUUGGUGUUACUGCGAAGGGGGGACGGAGAAGGCUAUGUUAGCCGGGCGACGGUUGUCCCGGUUUAAGCAUGUAGGCUGAUUGUCCAGGCAAAUCCGGAUAAUCAAGGCUGAGGUGUGAUGACGAGGCACUACGGUGCUGAAGUAACAAAUGCCCUGCUUCCAGGAAAAGCCUCUAAGCAUCAGGUAACAUUAAAUCGUACCCCAAACCGACACAGGUGGUCAGGUAGAGAAUACCAAGGCGCUUGAGAGAACUCGGGUGAAGGAACUAGGCAAAAUGGUGCCGUAACUUCGGGAGAAGGCACGCUGGUGUGUAGGUGAAGUCCCUGCGGAUGGAGCUGAGACCAGUCGAAGAUACCAGCUGGCUGCAACUGUUUAUUAAAAACACAGCACUGUGCAAACACGAAAGUGGACGUAUACGGUGUGACGCCUGCCCGGUGCCGGAAGGUUAAUUGAUGGGGUUAUCCGUAAGGAGAAGCUCUUGAUCGAAGCCCCGGUAAACGGCGGCCGUAACUAUAACGGUCCUAAGGUAGCGAAAUUCCUUGUCGGGUAAGUUCCGACCUGCACGAAUGGCGUAAUGAUGGCCAGGCUGUCUCCACCCGAGACUCAGUGAAAUUGAACUCGCUGUGAAGAUGCAGUGUACCCGCGGCAAGACGGAAAGACCCCGUGAACCUUUACUAUAGCUUGACACUGAACAUUGAGCCUUGAUGUGUAGGAUAGGUGGGAGGCUUUGAAGCGUGGACGCCAGUCUGCGUGGAGCCAACCUUGAAAUACCACCCUUUAAUGUUUGAUGUUCUAACGUUGGCCCCUUACCGGGGUUGCGGACAGUGUCUGGUGGGUAGUUUGACUGGGGCGGUCUCCUCCCAAAGCGUAACGGAGGAGCACGAAGGUUAGCUAAUCCUGGUCGGACAUCAGGAGGUUAGUGCAAUGGCAUAAGCUAGCUUGACUGCGAGCGUGACGGCGCGAGCAGGUGCGAAAGCAGGUCAUAGUGAUCCGGUGGUUCUGAAUGGAAGGGCCAUCGCUCAACGGAUAAAAGGUACUCCGGGGAUAACAGGCUGAUACCGCCCAAGAGUUCAUAUCGACGGCGGUGUUUGGCACCUCGAUGUCGGCUCAUCACAUCCUGGGGCUGAAGUAGGUCCCAAGGGUAUGGCUGUUCGCCAUUUAAAGUGGUACGCGAGCUGGGUUUAGAACGUCGUGAGACAGUUCGGUCCCUAUCUGCCGUGGGCGCUGGAGAAUUGAGGGGGGCUGCUCCUAGUACGAGAGGACCGGAGUGGACGCAUCACUGGUGUUCGGGUUGUCAUGCCAAUGGCACUGCCCGGUAGCUAAAUGCGGAAGAGAUAAGUGCUGAAAGCAUCUAAGCACGAAACUUGCCCCGAGAUGAGUUCUCCCUGAGACUUUAAGUCUCCUGAAGGAACGUUGAAGACGACGACGUUGAUAGGCCGGGUGUGUAAGCGCAGCGAUGCGUUGAGCUAACCGGUACUAAUGAACCGUGAGGCUUAACCUUAC
This 2904-nucleotide ribosomal RNA is filed under the name Klebsiella pneumoniae subsp. pneumoniae Kp13. RNAcentral's name for it is "bacterial LSU rRNA". It matches the Rfam family "Bacterial large subunit ribosomal RNA". Lineage: Bacteria; Pseudomonadati; Pseudomonadota; Gammaproteobacteria; Enterobacterales; Enterobacteriaceae. The record is from RNAcentral.